GAUGAACGCUGGCGGCGUGCCUAAUACAUGCAAGUCGAGCGAACGGACGAGAAGCUUGCUCCUCUGACGUUAGCGGCGGACGGGUGAGUAACACGUGGAUAACCUACCUAUAAGACUGGGAUAACUUCGGGAAACCGGAGCUAAUACCGGAUAAUAUUUUGAACCGCAUGGUUCAAAAGUGAAAGACGGUCUUGCUGUCACUUAUAGAUGGAUCCGCGCCGCAUUAGCUAGUUGGUAAGGUAACGGCUUACCAAGGCAACGAUGCAUAGCCGACCUGAGAGGGUGAUCGGCCACACUGGAACUGAGACACGGUCCAGACUCCUACGGGAGGCAGCAGUAGGGAAUCUUCCGCAAUGGGCGAAAGCCUGACGGAGCAACGCCGCGUGAGUGAUGAAGGUCUUCGGAUCGUAAAACUCUGUUAUUAGGGAAGAACAUAUGUGUAAGUAACUGUGCACAUCUUGACGGUACCUAAUCAGAAAGCCACGGCUAACUACGUG
This 497-nucleotide ribosomal RNA is filed under the name uncultured bacterium. Its description in RNAcentral is "partial 16S ribosomal RNA". It matches the Rfam family "Bacterial small subunit ribosomal RNA", at positions 28 to 507 of the family's 1533-position model. The record is from RNAcentral.